CCUACGGGAGGCUGCAGUCGAGAAUCUUCCGCAAUGCGCGAAAGCGUGACGGAGCGACGCCGCGUGGGUGAUGAAGGCCUUCGGGUUGUAAAGCCCUGUCACCUGGGAAGAAUGACGGGGGGUGAAUAGCCUCUCGUUUGACGCUACCAGGAGAGGAAGCACCGGCUAAAUACGUGCCAGCAGCCGCGGUAAUACGUAUGGUGCGAACGUUGUUCGGAAUCACUGGGCAUAAAGAGCACGUAGGCGGUUGAGCAAGUCCAUUGUGAAAUCCCCCGGCCUAACCGGGGAACUGCAUUGGAUACUACUUGACUUGAGUGCAGGAGGGGAGAGUGGAAUUCCAGGUGGAGCGGUGAAAUGCGUAGAUAUCUGGAGGAACGCCGGCGGCGAAAGCGACUCUCUGGUCUGUAACUGACGCUGAGGUGCGAAAGCUAGGGGAGCAA
This 440-nucleotide ribosomal RNA is filed under the name uncultured bacterium. RNAcentral describes it as "bacterial SSU rRNA". It matches the Rfam family "Bacterial small subunit ribosomal RNA", at positions 338 to 771 of the family's 1533-position model. The record is from RNAcentral.